Molecule: ribosomal RNA, 498 nt
Filed under: uncultured bacterium
Lineage: Bacteria
Description: partial 16S ribosomal RNA
Rfam family: Bacterial small subunit ribosomal RNA
Source: RNAcentral
AUUGAACGCUGGCGGCAUGCCUUACACAUGCAAGUCGAACGGUAACAGGUCUUCGGAUGCUGACGAGUGGCGAACGGGCGAGUAAUACAUCGGAACGUGCCUAGUAGUGGGGGAUAACUACUCGAAAGAGCGGCUAAUACCGCCUGAGAUCUACGGAUGAAAGCAGGGGAUCGCAAGACCUUGUGCUACUAAAGCGGCCGAUGGCAGAUUAGGUAGUUGGUGGGAUAAAAGCUUACCAAGCCGACGAUCUGUAGCUGGUCUGAGAGGACGAUCAGCCACACUGGGACUGAGACACGGCCCAGACUCCUACGGGAGGCAGCAGUGGGGAAUUUUGGACAAUGGGCGAAAGCCUGAUCCAGCAAUGCCGCGUGCAGGAUGAAGGCCUUCGGGUUGUAAACUGCUUUUGUACGGAACGAAAAGCCCCGGGUUAAUACCCUGGGGUCAUGACGGUACCGUAAGAAUAAGCACCGGCUAACUACGUGCCAGCCGCCGCCGUAA